UAGUGCUUAAGGGAGCUCCCUACAAACCAAUUCUGAAAGGAAAUGAUGGCACAAAUGCCACAGCUGCUAGUUCAUGGUCACCCCUGCCUCCGCACCACUUUUCCGGCGCAGGCUAGGGUUUGCAUGAACUAGGAGACGUGGGUUGCCUUCAUCUUUUUGAUAUUGGUUUGAAGGGAGUUCCAUUUUGCUCUUUC
Molecule: microRNA precursor, 194 nt
Filed under: Corchorus capsularis
Lineage: Eukaryota; Viridiplantae; Streptophyta; Magnoliopsida; Malvales; Malvaceae
Description: pre miRNA MIR159
Rfam family: MIR159 microRNA precursor family
Source: Rfam by way of RNAcentral